RNAcentral lists this transfer RNA (76 nucleotides) under bacterium. Its description in RNAcentral is "tRNA-Thr". It matches the Rfam family "tRNA". From Rfam's summary of the family: Transfer RNA (tRNA) molecules are approximately 80 nucleotides in length. Their secondary structure includes four short double-helical elements and three loops (D, anti-codon, and T loops). The record is from RNAcentral. RNAcentral also lists the same sequence under 1 other name.
GCCCACAUAGCUCAGUAGGUAGAGCGUAUCCUUGGUAAGGAUAAGGUCACCGGUUCGAUCCCGGUUGUGGGCUCCA